CACUGGUCUAGAGCUGGCAUCGCUCUCCUGAUGAGUCCAAGGCAAGACGAAACUAGUG
This 58-nucleotide non-coding RNA is filed under the name Helianthus annuus (common sunflower). Lineage: Eukaryota; Viridiplantae; Streptophyta; Magnoliopsida; Asterales; Asteraceae. The record is from RNAcentral.